AUUGAACGCUGGCGGCAGGCCUCACACAUGCAAGUCGAACGAAUGGCGGACGGGUGAGUAAUGUCUGGGAAACUGCCCGAUGUAGGGGUAUAACUACUGGAAACGGUCGCUAAUCCCGCAUACCAUCGGAUGUGCCCAGAUGGGAUUAGCUAGUAGGUGGGGUAACGGCUCACCUAGGCGACGAUCCCUAGCUGGUCUGAGAGGAUGACCAGCCACAAUGGAACUGAGACACGGUCCAGACUCCUACGGGAGGCAGCAGUGGGGAAUAUUGCACAAUGGGCGCAAGCCGGAUGCAGCCAUGCCGCGUGUAUGAAGAAGGCCUUCGGGUUGUAAAGUACUUUCAGCGAGGAGGCGUUACUCGCAGAAGAAGCACCGGCUAACUCCGUGCCAGCAGCCGCGGUAAUUC
Molecule: ribosomal RNA, 406 nt
Filed under: uncultured bacterium
Lineage: Bacteria
Description: partial 16S ribosomal RNA
Rfam family: Bacterial small subunit ribosomal RNA
Source: RNAcentral